This 79-nucleotide non-coding RNA is filed under the name unclassified sequences. The record is from RNAcentral.
UAUUAAUCGCCACCGGGCGAGAAAGCAUUUAUAAAGUUCAUUAGGUCAAUGAAGAACUUUAUAGGUGCUUUUAUUUUUU